UUUAAUACGCACAAAAUUACAGGUCAAGCAAACUAUUCACCAUUGGAAACACAAACUGGAAGAAAUGGAAUCCUCUCUACCAACUUAUUGAUUGAAGUUUUUGAUUGAUGUACACUUAUUGAUUGAUAAAUAAAAGUUUCAAAAGGAGAAGACUUUCUAGAUGUUCUGAAAAAGAAAAAAUGAGCUCAAUUUUGAAAAUUUGCAAAUUGGAG
RNAcentral lists this long non-coding RNA (212 nucleotides) under Panax ginseng (ginseng). RNAcentral's name for it is "long non-coding RNA (PGIN_LNC008217)". Lineage: Eukaryota; Viridiplantae; Streptophyta; Magnoliopsida; Apiales; Araliaceae. The record is from RNAcentral.